This 29-nucleotide non-coding RNA is filed under the name Mus musculus (house mouse). Lineage: Eukaryota; Metazoa; Chordata; Mammalia; Rodentia; Muridae. The record is from RNAcentral.
UAGUUGUCUUGCAUUGCUGUGUCCAUAUC